UUUCAUGAGAGUUUGAUCCUGGCUCAGGACGAACGCUGGCGGCGUGCCUAAUACAUGCAAGUCGAGCGAACCGACGAGGUGCUUGCACCUCGAACGUUAGCGGCGGACGGGUGAGUAACACGUAAGGAAUCUACCUAUAAGCGGGGGAUAACAUCCGGAAACGGGUGCUAAUACCGCAUAUGAGUCACUUUUGCAUAAUGGUGACUUAAAAGACGGCUCUGCUGUCACUUAUAGAUGACCUUGCGGUGCAUUAGUUAGUUGGUGGGGUAACGGCCUACCAAGACCAUGAUGCAUAGCCGACCUGAGAGGGUGAUCGGCCACA
RNAcentral lists this ribosomal RNA (322 nucleotides) under Aerococcus kribbianus. RNAcentral's name for it is "bacterial SSU rRNA". It matches the Rfam family "Bacterial small subunit ribosomal RNA", at positions 1 to 312 of the family's 1533-position model. The record is from RNAcentral. Lineage: Bacteria; Bacillati; Bacillota; Bacilli; Lactobacillales; Aerococcaceae.